This is a long non-coding RNA of Lolium rigidum, 2208 nucleotides long. RefSeq lists it as uncharacterized. The transcript has 2 exons. NCBI's taxonomy places the organism in Eukaryota, Viridiplantae, Streptophyta, Magnoliopsida, Poales, Poaceae. The record is from RefSeq and is a predicted model, not a curated record.
ACUUCAGCAAGAUCGCGGGGAGUGGCUGUAGCUGGAGAUCGCCCCGGCGGCGAGCGGCUACAUCUGGGGAUAUGGGCGUCUUGAGCCGUGGUGAGCAACUGGCGGCGUUGGUGCCUACAUGGUGAUCCGAGCAGCUUCGGCAGUGCUGCGGGCGUAGCAUGCCGGCCAGCCGGUGGGCUUCGACCUCAAGAGCUGAACCAUACGAAGAAGCAGCAUGAGACAUGGAACACUGGUCAUGUUUCCUCACGCUUGAGGUGGGUUAAAUUAUGUGCUGUCUUCCUUAUCUUUUCCUCAUUUUCAGGACAUCCUUUACGUCUAAGCUGGCGUUUCUUGUUUAUCUUUCAAUUUAUCAUUUGGCAAUCAGAUCCUUGUCGAUUUAUAGCAUAGUUAUAUUAUGAUGUUUGUUCUUAAUGGUCAAACUAAUGUUGGUACUACCGUAUGGGGACUAUGUUAAUCUAGUUUUGUACUGGUCCAUAUGGAGUUCUUUGCAUUUGGCACCUGGCGAAUAGCUCAUCAAGUAGGGCUCCCUAAUUUCCGAUGGUUGUGUUUUCAGUCACAAGUAUAUAAAUUGUAUUGUAUAUAUUUAGUUAUUGUGCGGCAUCAGCAGUACCCGUACUUACUGUUCGCAAAAAAUACAGUUCUGGGAGGGUGCUUGGAGAUGUAAUUUCCUUCUUUAUCAUGUAGCUGUUUCCCAUGUGCUUGUUUACUGAUUUAGGCAGUCCGCAACAAGGGAUGACGCUGGCUACUAGAGCCACAUCUCUACCAUUUUGGAUGAGUAAGUGACGAUAUUUUAUCUGGUUCUGCAUCAUCUUGGUUCGUAAUUGUUAUAUUUUACUCGAGAUAGUUAUUUUCCUGUAAAAAAUGAAUCUUUACAUAAGUUGUUAAUUUUUUGGUUAUCCAUCUUUUUUUUAAUUUGUUGACGUCAAUGGUGUCUCCAAUCUAUUUAGUGGCCAUUUCCAGCUAGGUUCUUUGUGAGAGUGCCUAAUUGGAAGCAAUUUGGUCUGGUGCUAAAAUGUUAUCAUGGAACCCCACAAUCUGAUGGAGACAUAUAUCCUCUAUCCUCCAGUUCAGUGGGAUAAUGAGCUAACAUUUGUUUCGAUGAAUGACUGGAUGCUCUUUAUUUUCUCUUCCUUACAAAUGCUUUAGUCAUUUAUAGUUGAUGGUCAUGCUUCUCGAAGUUGUUUUUGUGGAAUUCUUCUCUAAUCUUCAGGUGAGUAUUUUCUCAAUGUAAAAUCCCCAAAUAUCUAUUACGUCACUCUUUCCUGUAUAACCUAUGAAAGUCAGAUCUAACUAAAAGGGGUCAUGUUUUGAUUAUGGUUUUAUAAGGAAGUUACACUAGUGACCAUACAAAUUGUCCACUGCCAUCACUGAUUUUAAAUGGAUCAGAUGUAGUAUUUGCUGCCAUCUUUUAUAUAUAUGGCUGACGACAUGGCAUCCAAUGCUUCAUAAUUGUGGAUUAUAGUCACUUGACUUUAGUAUGUAAGGUUAGGGCAGCAAAUAAUUCCAGCAUUGUUGGGACUGAGUUCUUUUUUACAGAUGAAUUUUGGAGAGCCAUUUAAGUGUUUUCUUGUAACUUUUUCCUGCUUACCUAGAACUAAUGCAAUUGCUUCACUAGCAGUUCACUGUAUAUUUUCACCGGCAUAACAUGCUCAAUAUGUGAUGCUUCUGUUUGAGAAAUAACACUUGCUGAAACUACUGCAUAUGUUUAUACAACAGAUGGACAUAUGAUAAUAUCUCAUCGUAAUCGUAUGUUACAUGUUAUUUUAUUUUGAAGAUCAAGAGAGAUGAUGUUUCCUUCAUGAGGCUAGUAGUAAUGGACCGUAAUGGAGGGUGUGGCUUUUGCAUUCACAACCCUGGUGGGACGAUCCGUGCCGCAAUUAUGGAGCAUUUGCAAGGUUUAUCUAUUGAUCUUCAUGCAGUAGGCAUUGCAUGUGACAAGGAUUCCAGCUCGCACCAGAUUCUGGAACUGAAAAAGUGGCAGUAAAAACUGAUCUGAUACACCAAAGCGAACAGUUGAAAAUUGUGUCUUUGUAAGCUUGUUGUGUAAUUGUGUUUUUUUUUCUUCUUCUUUUGGAUAAGUUGUGUUGCAGAUCAUGGCCUAGCAUGACAUGGCACCUUGAUAUGUCAUCACAUGUGUAUCUUGUAUUUCAUUAGUUGACCUUGCACUUUAUCCUUGUUUAAUUCCACUACCAAUUUUCUUACAUAGCA